UUUGAUGUACCAACACACCUUUAACAAGUUGUACCAAAAGCUAUCUAAUUUGUACAGUAACUCUGGACCAACACAGCAACAAAUAAUUGUACAAUAAGCAACAUAAAGUGUACAAUCAAGUUGUUCUCCAUUUAACAUGUGUAAGUACACAAACUUUUCCCUCACACCACCUGUAUGAUCUGUAUGUACCCUCCCUCAAUAAAUAAAAUAGACAUGCAUCUCAAUUCCCGCCAACACCCCUUCAAAGAACAAACUUGAUCUCAUCGCUUUCAAGCUUUAGGUUUGAAAGGUAUAUGAGUUCUCUUUCUCCUAUUCUCUUCUAUAUCAGUUUCAAGUCUCUGUACUCAUUUAUUAUGUUUUUAAUUAAAUUUAUUUUUAAAUUCAAAGGUUUGCUCUGAAUUUUGUUUUUCCAGUUCCCAAGUUAUUGUUCUAUUCAUUUCUUUCACUUCCAGCCUAACAUUGACGAAUAUGGGAAUCAGAAUUUUGCAGGAUAGUCUUAUCAUCAACUGAUGUACGAGAAAAUAUUCAUUAGAUGGAGAAGUUCAUCAAGAUUUUUGCAGGCGUUGCUGAUCAUAGUUUCAAUUUCAAGAGCUUACAUCACAAAACUAUUACUUUAUAACAUUAAAGUAAUCAACUGUGUCCACCAAAGUACAGUAAAAUCAACCCAACAUUUCAGACUCAUGGUCUGAUUUGAUUGUAAUAUGUACAAAGAUCAGUUGAACUCCUGCAACCUUUGGUGGUAAGUGAAUGAUAUCAUAUAUCAAUAUUGUAAGCUAUGCAAGAAGGUGAUUUUUUUUAUCUUCUAAGCACCACAAUGCACUUCCUUGCUUGAACUCUUAAUGUUGUGCUUGGUGUUAGGUUGUGGAGCCUGAUUACUAUUUGAUAUACUGUCAUAUAUUAGGCUGUACUGUUUAUUCUCCAUUUAUUUUCUGUAACUGUUCAUACUCUGAAUUAUUAAUAUAUAUACCUCACCGCCGUGGAAGUUUACCCACGGGGUGUUACCACGAACUAUUGGUUUCUCACUUUUACUAUCUAGAUCUCUCAUCUCUCUCUCGAAAGUUCCUGUGUUCUUCAUUCAUCAAGUGUGUGUGUGUGGAUUCGAUCCUAACACUUGGUUUGUUAGAGAAGGAGCUCUUUGUUGAUGAGGUUUUUUAGGAAUCUUGCAUUGUUUACUAUACUCACUUAGUUCUCUAUCUGCAAGGUAUAUGUUAGUUCCUAGUUUGGGUUUUAAUUAAUUUGUCUGUUCUUUUGAGUUGUUUCUUGUGGAUUUUUGAUUAUCCUAUAUGCUUGCAAAUGAUUUUAUUGUGAUUUGUGCAAACAUCCUUGAAGAUUCAUAGGUGCAAUAGAGUUAUGUUAUAUCAUGUUGUUCUUAGAUGAUAUCAUUGAAGUGGUGUGACACUAAUUCUUGGAUGAUACUGAUUAAAGUGGCGUCGCAGUGGCGAAAGGAAUAAAAUUUAAUUUUGUAAUUUCUGACACUCACCUUCUUUUAAGCUUUCACCUUCCAACGCGCGAACUAUAAGAAUAGACACAUGUAGUUCCUUUUUUAUAGGUAUUCUUUCAAUGUCGACACAAAAAUUAACUUCAACGCUGCUCUUAUCUGAAGAUUUCAUUUCCCUCAGGCUCUUUUAGAGGUAAGUAUAUCUGUCCUUUCAACGUAUUUGCAUCUAUGAUCUGAAUGUUAAAUUUGACUCAGCAUAAACAAUUAUGAUAAUCAAAAUGGUGUUCUUAUCGUGAUAGAUUAUUAGUAGAAUGGUAAAGUUUUAGUAGCAAGGGUCAAUUCAUCAUUUGGUAAAUCCUUCUACUUAGAGGUGUAAUUUUUUAAUUUUAUUUCUACGAGCAUCUCUAGAAGAAGAAGCAGAGGAAGCGAUAAGAUGUUAAUGGAUUUUUUUCUCGAUUGUUGAAAUAUUGGAGUAAAAAGUAUUACUUUUUUGUAAGUUGUUGAUUAACUACUUACUGAUUUCUUAUUUGAUGAAUUUGUGUGAAUAAAUUGAUUUAUGUUAAGGGUAGGAGUUGCAAGUUUCUUUACUUUUUUUAUGCAGGAACUAGAUGAUGUUUUAUGGUAGAAUACCACUUGACCAUAAGGAGAGAGACAUUCAACUACUUGACACUAAUGCGAUGAAUCUAGCGAAAAAAGUAGUUCAAAAGAAGCCACAAGUUUAAAUAGAAAGAAUAGUCAAUGUCAAUUAGAGAAAACUUUAUUGAACUCUUCCUUUUGAAACUUACCAUCAUAUAUGAAUUAUGUUAGUACAAAUCUAUGUAUUUGUCAACCUUCUGAUGGAGGCAUAUAGUAUCACUCAUCUAAUUUGCUAAUAACUUUUGAAACUACCGAGAUUGUUCUUUGAAAAUGGAUUCUUGCAAGUUUUCUGUUAUCUUCUAUAAUAGUUUUGCUCAA
This is a long non-coding RNA of Solanum pennellii, 2392 nucleotides long. RefSeq lists it as uncharacterized. The transcript has 2 exons. NCBI's taxonomy places the organism in Eukaryota, Viridiplantae, Streptophyta, Magnoliopsida, Solanales, Solanaceae. The record is from RefSeq and is a predicted model, not a curated record.